This 498-nucleotide ribosomal RNA is filed under the name uncultured bacterium. Its description in RNAcentral is "partial 16S ribosomal RNA". It matches the Rfam family "Bacterial small subunit ribosomal RNA", at positions 28 to 507 of the family's 1533-position model. The record is from RNAcentral.
GACGAACGCUGGCGGCGUGCCUAAUACAUGCAAGUCGAACGAGAGCGACCGGUGCUUGCCCUGGGCACUCUAGUGGCGAACGGGUGAGUAACACGUGGGUAACCUGCCCAUUAGAGGGGGAUAACCUUCGGAAACGGAUGCUAAAACCGCAUAGGUCUUCGAACCGCAUGGUCUGAAGAGGAAAAGAGGCGCAAUCUUCUGCUGAUGGAUGGCCCCGCAGUGCCUUAGCUAGUUGGUGAGGUAACGGCCCACCAAGGCCGUGAUGCAUAGCCGACCUGAGGGGGUGAGCGGCCGGAUUGGUACUGACACACGGCCCAAACUCCUACGGGAGGCAGCAAGCGGGAGUCUACAGCGAUGAAUGGAAGUCAGACGGAUCAACGGCGGGUGAGUGAAGAAGGUCUUCGGAUGGUUUGACUCUGUCGUUAGUGAGGAACGAGUGCUAAAGUUACUGGUAUGUGCUGAACGGUAUCUAGUCAAGAAGCCACGGCUAACUACGUG